AUUGAACGCUGGCGGCAGGCUUAACACAUGCAAGUCGAGCGCGCGGCGGACGGGUGAGUAAUGUCUGGGAAACUGCCUGAUGGAGGGGGCUAACUACUGGAAACGGUAGCUAAUACCGCAUACCAUCAGAUGUGCCCAGAUGGGAUUAGCUAGUAGGUGGGGUAAUGGCUCACCUAGGCGACGAUCCCUAGCUGGUCUGAGCGGAUGACCAGCGACACUGGAACUGAGACACGGUCGAGAAUCCUACGUGAGGCAGCAGUGGGGAAUAUUGCACAAUGGGCGCAAGCCAGAUGCAGCCAUGCCGCGUUGGUGAAGAAGGCCUUCGGGUUGUAAAGCACUUUCAGCGAGGAGGCGUUACUCGCAGAAGAAGCACCGGCUAAAUCCGUGCCAGCGGCCGCGGUAAUAC
RNAcentral lists this ribosomal RNA (406 nucleotides) under uncultured bacterium. Its description in RNAcentral is "partial 16S ribosomal RNA". It matches the Rfam family "Bacterial small subunit ribosomal RNA", at positions 30 to 526 of the family's 1533-position model. The record is from RNAcentral.